UCUUUCAGCUAGUGCUAUUGUCUGGCGGACUCGUGCUCCCUUUUCCUGCACCCUGACGUCUGUGCAGAAGCAGAAAGAUCUUUAUGGAAGCAGAUGAAUCAUUGCUGAGGAUCAGCUGGUACCACAGAUCAGCAUGGUGGAUUUUAUGGCAAAUUUCUACAGCCAAGACACAAAUGUUGACAGAUUUCCAGCGAGGUUCUCAUUGCAGUGCCACGUUGUCAUACACUUCAGGCCCGCUAAAAUGUCAGAAGACCCCUUCUGUUCUGUGGCGGCAUCCAGGUACGUAGAGAAAA
This 293-nucleotide long non-coding RNA is filed under the name Chrysolophus pictus (golden pheasant). Its description in RNAcentral is "lncRNA (ENSCPIG00010009530.1)". The record is from RNAcentral. Lineage: Eukaryota; Metazoa; Chordata; Aves; Galliformes; Phasianidae.